UUUUUUCAAUCAUCUUGAGCUCCUCCUCCAUUGCAUCUAUCCAUUUUUUAUCAUUUGCUGCUUCUGAAUAUCCAGCAGGUUCCAUGAUUGCAACAUUACACCUUUGAUAGAUAUCAGAAAGUGAUCUUGUUCCUCUGACAGGUUCAUCAUCUAUGGCCUCAUUCUCCUCCUGAAAUUCAAUAUUCUUGCCGUCUUUCCAAUUCCAGCUAUCCAACUCCAAGAAUUUCACAUC
RNAcentral lists this long non-coding RNA (232 nucleotides) under Trifolium pratense (red clover). Its description in RNAcentral is "long non-coding RNA (TPRA_LNC009585)". Lineage: Eukaryota; Viridiplantae; Streptophyta; Magnoliopsida; Fabales; Fabaceae. The record is from RNAcentral.